UCCAUCUUCUGCAUCAACAAGUUGUUUGUGAAGAAGAGUUUCUUUCUGCCGGAAAGCCUGGGGGAAGAGAGGCAUUCAGAACAAGGCUGCUGAGACUGGAGACACUGGAGUGUUUGGGUAUGGAGUGCUCAGGCCACUGCUGGUGGGAUUUUCCUGUUACCAAUAGAAGUCUCAACCAACGUGAAUACAGCACUGAGAACUGCCCAGGAGAUACAGGAGGAAGUGUUCCAGGCUCAGCUACUGGGGUGGAUGAACAAAAAGGAGACAGUGUGCAAUUCCAGGAUCGGCGCUGACAUUUUCACUUUUGUUUGCACUGUCUGCUUCUACUUACUUAGAACCCUAUUGUCUCGAGAGGAAGACUAAUGAGGGCAAAUACCCCAGAGUGGAAUUGCUGACUUGUAUGAUUUGGAAGCUGAGAGAUGAGAGAUCAUGCCAACCAACAAAUAGUUAUUGAACAUCUUGAAUGGAUCCAGGACAGCCCUCAGUGCUAUAGGGAACAUAAGAAAUGUUGAAAAUCUCGGAGGUUCUUAUCCUGAUUUCACCUGGGAUCAUUCAAUAUGCAAUUUUCUGAAGGUUCUACUGGGGUUGAAGGGUCCAAGUCGUCUUCACUCUGAUGUGUGGCAGUGGGUGUGGGAUGUUGGCUGAGAUGCCUCAGUUCUCCUCCACAUGAUCUCUCACCUUCUGUAUGGCUGGUGCUGAAGAUAGAUGAGUUCUAGAAAAUGACAGGUGGUUACUUCAAUCACAACUGCUGUUUCAAAUGUGAUCUACUUACUGGAGCAAAUCAACGUACCCUGACACCUGGAUUCUGCCACAUAUUCCUUUAUCUGAAUAUUUCCUAGAUCUGCUCUUCACACUUGCCUGUUGCGUACAGAGGUUGGAUAUGCCCAUGGAGAAUGAUGGUGCAUUGCUGGAAGCUUCAUCUGAUGGUUACUCCUAUAGCAGCUGCAGUUUCCAGAUGUGGUCUCUUGAUGGG
Molecule: non-coding RNA, 973 nt
Organism: Vicugna pacos (alpaca)
Lineage: Eukaryota; Metazoa; Chordata; Mammalia; Artiodactyla; Camelidae
Source: RefSeq, a predicted model, not a curated record